Pongo pygmaeus (Bornean orangutan) is the source of this 278-nucleotide long non-coding RNA. RefSeq lists it as uncharacterized. The transcript has 3 exons. The record is from RefSeq and is a predicted model, not a curated record. NCBI's taxonomy places the organism in Eukaryota, Metazoa, Chordata, Mammalia, Primates, Hominidae.
UCUCCUGCUGGUGUGAAAAGGUGGCAGGCUGCCUCUGCAGCUUUGCCCGGAAGCUGGUGCCCUGGACUACUGCUUCUCACACUCCUGAGGAGCUCCCUUUGGCUGUGAUCACCCACUGGCCUCCUCUGUGUGAACAGCACGGGGCCUGCCGGGCUGUAAGGGCCCAGCAGCAGGGACACUUGCACCUCAUCCUGGACCUGCUGCCCUGCUCUUCCUUCUCUGGGUCUCAUGCAAAACUGGCAUCUUUCAUGUCGCAGCCUGUAUCCUGACAGAGAGCC